UGGGAUAAUAAAUUUAAAGUAUAUAGUACAGUGACUGAAACAUAAUAUUCAAUGAAUUUUAGCUAUUAUUAUUGUUAUAAUUAACUAGUUGUGGAAGUUGACAUAUAUUGCUGUUUUAAAACUGAGAAGACCUUUUGGCCUUCAAAAGACGGUCUUAUCUUAUGGCCUCCACUAUCUCUCUGUUGAAUGAUUUGCACUUUGAAAGAGAGAAUUUCUUUCCAGAUCUUUUUUUUUUUUUUUGAGACCGAGUCUUGCUCUGUUGCCAGGCUGGAGUACAGUGGCACGAUUUCAGAUCUAAUUUUCAAAGCAGUCUUUCUAUGUUCUAUAGGUCCGUGAGCAAGAUGGGGAAGCAGUACAAGGCAAGCAGGACUGUGGGCUUGGAUCUUGUCUGGUUUUCAGUUGAGAACAGACUUUUAUUUCCACCAAGGAAGCAGUACCAUAAGAUGGACCCAGCAUUGUGCCUUUUAUCUUUCGAAAGAAGCUUAAUACAUACUUCUUGA
This 500-nucleotide long non-coding RNA is filed under the name Papio anubis (olive baboon). Its description in RNAcentral is "lncRNA (ENSPANG00000040187.1)". Lineage: Eukaryota; Metazoa; Chordata; Mammalia; Primates; Cercopithecidae. The record is from RNAcentral.